Molecule: ribosomal RNA, 501 nt
Filed under: uncultured bacterium
Lineage: Bacteria
Description: partial 16S ribosomal RNA
Rfam family: Bacterial small subunit ribosomal RNA
Source: RNAcentral
AUUGAACGCUGGCGGCAGGCUUAACACAUGCAAGUCGAGCGGAGCGAGGGUGCUUGCACCUUAGCUUAGCGGCGGACGGGUGAGUAAUGCUUAGGAAUCUGCCUAUUAGUGGGGGACAACAUUCCGAAUGGAAUGCUAAUACCGCAUACGCCCUACGGGGGAAAGCAGGGGAUCUUCGGACCUUGCGCUAAUAGAUGAGCCUAAGUCGGAUUACCUAGUUGGUGGGGUAAAGGCCUACCAAGGCGACGAUCUGUAGCGGGUCUGAGAGGAUGAUCCGCCACACUGGGACUGAGACACGGCCCAGACUCCUACGGGAGGCAGCAGUGGGGAAUAUUGGACAAUGGGCGGAAGCCUGAUCUAGCCAUGCCGCGUGUGUGAAGAAGGCCUUUUGGUUGUAAAGCACUUUAAGCGAGGAGGAGGCUACUCAGAUUAAUACUCUGGGAUAGUGGACGUUACUCGCAGAAUAAGCACCGGCUAACUCUGUGCCAGCCGCCGCCGUAA